This 212-nucleotide ribosomal RNA is filed under the name uncultured bacterium. Its description in RNAcentral is "partial 16S ribosomal RNA". It matches the Rfam family "Bacterial small subunit ribosomal RNA", at positions 524 to 734 of the family's 1533-position model. The record is from RNAcentral.
UACAGAGGGUGCGAGCGUUGUUCGGAAUUAUUGGGCGUAAAGCGCUUGUAGGCGGCACGUCAAGUCGCGUGUGAAAAUCCCCAGGCUUAACCUGGGAAGUGCGCGCGAAACUGACGAGCUUGAGUGCCGGAGAGGGUCGCGGAAUUCCCGGUGUAGAGGUGAAAUUCGUAGAUAUCGGGAGGAACACCAGUGGCGAAGGCGGCGACCUGGUC